AGAAGACCUUGAAGAUGCCUGCUGCUUGGUGACAGAAAGGAGUGUUUGAAUGGCAGCCAUGAGACAGUCCAGCAUCUUUGGAGCCUUCAGCCCUGUGCUCCCUUUGGAUCCUUGCCACUGCGGUGUGUGGUGUGGAACCUCACAAAGGCCCCUUAGAGAUUGGAAAACUGCUCCGCUUCAGUCUCUUGUAUGUGGAGCACAACCUUCAAUCCUGAAGGGAAGGUUUGCUAAGCAGGAGAGCUCCGGGGAGCUCUGUCUCCUGAGGACUAGGAUUGAAGCCAGGUCCACACGUGAGUGCUCUACCACUGAUCUACACUGGCAGCCCCCCUUUUUAUUUAUUUUGAGACAAGAUCUCACUGAGUUGCCCAUACUGGCUUCAAACUUGGAACCCUCAAACCUUAGACUCUUGAGUAAUGGGUAUUAUAGGCAUGAACCAC
Arvicola amphibius (Eurasian water vole) is the source of this 437-nucleotide long non-coding RNA. RefSeq lists it as uncharacterized. Lineage: Eukaryota; Metazoa; Chordata; Mammalia; Rodentia; Cricetidae. The transcript has 3 exons. The record is from RefSeq and is a predicted model, not a curated record.